CCCCAGUCCUGAAUGAUACUAAGCCAUGCGAGUCAUUGUAGUAAUACAAGGCAGACGGCUCAGUAACGCGUAGUCAACCUACCCUAUGGACGGGGAUAACCUCGGGAAACUGAGAAUAAUACCCGAUAGAACAUUAUGCCUGGAAUGGUUUAUGUUUCAAAUGAUUUAUCGCCGUAGGAUGGGACUGCGGCCUAUCAGUUUGUUGGUGAGGUAAUGGCCCACCAAGACUAUUACAGGUACGGGCUCUGAGAGGAGUAGCCCGGAGAUGGGUACUGAGACACGGACCCAGGCCCUAUGGGGCGCAGCAGGCGAGAAAACUUUGCAAUGUGCGAAAGCACGACAAGGUUAAUCCGAGUGGUUUGUGCUAAACGAACCUUUUGUCGGUCCUAGAAACACCGAUGAAUAAGGGGUGGGCAAGUUCUGGUGUCAGCCGCCGCGGUAAAACCAGCACCUCAAGUGGUCAGGAUGAUUAUUGGGCCUAAAGCAUCCGUAGCCGGCUCUGUAAGUUUUCGGUUAAAUCUGUACGCUCAACGUACAGGCUGCCGGGAAUACUGCAGAGCUAGGGAGUGGGAGAGGUAGACGGUACUCGGUAGGAAGGGGUAAAAUCCUUUGAUCUAUUGAUGACCACCUGUGGCGAAGGCGGUCUACCAGAACACGUCCGACGGUGAGGGAUGAAAGCUGGGGGAGCAAACCGGAUUAGAUACCCGGGUAGUCCCAGCUGUAAACUAUGCAAACUCAGUGAUGCAUUGGCUUGUGGCCAAUGCAGUGCUGCAGGGAAGCCGUUAAGUUUGCCGCCUGGGAAGUACGUACGCAAGUAUGAAACUUAAAGGAAUUGGCGGGGGAGCACCACAAGGGGUGAAGCCUGCGGUUCAAUUGGAGUCAACGCCGGA
This 890-nucleotide ribosomal RNA is filed under the name uncultured archaeon. RNAcentral's name for it is "bacterial SSU rRNA". It matches the Rfam family "Archaeal small subunit ribosomal RNA", at positions 27 to 922 of the family's 1478-position model. The record is from RNAcentral.